Non-coding RNA from Schizosaccharomyces pombe (fission yeast), 544 nucleotides. The record is from the annotation of a GenBank genome assembly. Lineage: Eukaryota; Fungi; Ascomycota; Schizosaccharomycetes; Schizosaccharomycetales; Schizosaccharomycetaceae.
GAUUACAUCGCUAAAAAAAAGCAUCAGUAAAUGAGUAGUCAUUAGAAAAGUCUUUUUUAACAUCACUUCGAUUUUUUUGUAUCAGCGUCGGACCCAGGAGCCUCAACAUCACCUUUGGGAAGCUUGUCAAUUAAUGACUUUACAAGAGCCCAAGCAUUCAGGACCAAAGGCUGACGUGUAGUAAAUUGAACUAACUUCUCUAGAAAAUUAUUGAUGGCUGCUUUGUGAUCCGAAAGAAAAGGAGAAAUGUACGAUGCAUAAAUAAAUGCUGCACCUUGCGUUCUAGGAUUUAGAAGCCAUAACCAAAAUACAAUCUUCGAAGUAGAAUAGAACGGAACCCAACUUAGAAAUCUUCCUAAUAUAGAUUCAGCAGCCGUUACACAACCAUAGACACACCAGUAUGCCAUAAGUCGUCGUCGCUCUUCUUCUGUACAAAUGUUAUAACUAAUGUUCAUAAAAAAUCCGACUCAUGGUAAAACCAACGAAUAUGCUUUUUACUUCGGCGGAAAAAUAAACCUACCUAUUGAUUUGUGUUCUUCAUUUC